RNAcentral lists this ribosomal RNA (465 nucleotides) under uncultured bacterium. RNAcentral describes it as "partial 16S ribosomal RNA". It matches the Rfam family "Bacterial small subunit ribosomal RNA", at positions 28 to 507 of the family's 1533-position model. The record is from RNAcentral.
GAUGAACGCUGGCGGCGUGCUUAACACAUGCAAGUCGAACGGAAAGGCUCCUGCUUGCAGGGGUACUCGAGUGGCGAACGGGUGAGUAACACGUGGGUGAUCUGCCCUGCACUUCGGGAUAAGCCUGGGAAACUGGGUCUAAUACCGGAUAGGACGAUGGUUUGGAUGCCAUUGUGGAAAGUUUUUCGGUGGGGGAUGAGCUCGCGGCCUAUCAGCUUGUUGGUGGGGUAAUGGCCUACCAAGGCGUCGACGGGUAGCCGGCCUGAGAGGGUGUCCGGCCACAUUGGGACUGAGAUACGGCCCAGACUCCUACGGGAGGCAGCAGUGGGGAAUAUUGCACAAUGGGCGGAAGCCUGAUGCAGCGACGCCGCGUGCGGGAUGACGGCCUUCGGGUUGUAAACCCCUUUCGCUAGGGACGAAGCGCAAGUGACGGUACCUGGUGAAGAAGCACCGGCUAACUACGUG